RNAcentral lists this long non-coding RNA (4673 nucleotides) under Sus scrofa (pig). RNAcentral describes it as "lncRNA (ENSSSCG00030006823.1)". The record is from RNAcentral. Lineage: Eukaryota; Metazoa; Chordata; Mammalia; Artiodactyla; Suidae.
UUUUUUUUUUUUUUGGCUUUUUAAGGCUGUACCCAUGGCAUAUGGGAGGUUCCAGGGCUAGGGAUCGAAUUGGAGCUACAACUGCCGGCCUAUGCCACAGCCACAGCCACAGCAACUCGGGAUCUGAGCCACAUCUGCAACCUACACCACAGCUCACGGCAACGCUGGAUCCCCGACCCACUGAGUGAGGCCAGGGUGAGUUAAAGGAUCCCAUGUGGCUGUAGCUGUGGCAUAGUUUGCAGAUGUGGCUUGGAUUCAGUCCCUGGCCCAGGAACUUCCAUAUGCCCCAAGUGCAGCCAUAAAAUUAAAAACAAAAAUCUCCUUGAGGUAAAAAAUAUGUUUAUCUGUAUUGGAAAAAAAGUCAGAGACAGCCAGAGAGAGACUGGCAUAAGGAUAUGAACUAGUAAAUAGAGCAGAGGUCCACCUGGGGGGUAGGAUUACGGCAAAGUUUUCUGUUAUUUUUUUGCUCAUGUGCAUGCUCUAAAUAUUCAUGGUUAGCAAUACUUUUUUAACAGGGAAAGGUUAUUAAAGAGAGAGAUAUAACUCUCAUGGCAUUAUCUUACUCUGCUUAAUAUUCACUCAUUGAAAAAUACACUGUUGGGAGUUCCCGUUGUGAUGCAGUGGAAACGAAUCUGACUAGUAUCCAUGAGGAAGCAGGUUCAAUCCCUGGCCUCACUCAGUGGGUUAAGGAUCCGGCAUUGCCGUGAGCUGUGGUGUAGUUUGAAGAUGCGGCUCAGAUCCCAUGUUGCUGUGGCUGUGGUGUAGGCCGGCAUCUGUAGCUCCAUUCCGACCCCUAGCCUGGGAACUUCCAUAUGCAACUGGAGCCGGUGCAGCCCUAAAAAGUUUAAAAAAUUUAAAAAAUGAGAGAAAGAAAGAAAAUACAUUGCUGAAAACUAGUGAACCCAACGAAAAAGAAGCAGACUCGCAGAUACAGAGAACAAAGGAGUGGUUACUGGUGGGGAGAGGGAAUUGGGGAAGGGCCAUCUAGGGGUGCGGGGGGUGAAAUACAAUACUGGGUGUAAGACGGGCUCAAGCAGGUCUUAUACCACAUGGGGAAUACAGCUAGUAUUCUGUAAUAACUGUAAAUAGAAAGUAACCUUUAAAAACUGCAUAAAAUUUUUUUAAAAUUUUAAGAAAAAAUACAUUGUUGAGAGUCCGCUAAAGUACUGGAGGGCAGCUACCGAGACAGUAAGAUUUAGACCCAGCCUGGAGAAGUUCAAUGGACUCAGAGAGGGAGGUGUGGUAGGGAGGAGGUCCUUACAGGCUGAUCUGGGCUGAGGCAGGGAAGAGCUCAAGGGAUAGGCAUGUAAUCCAGACCCACAGUCAGGGAGCAGAGAAGAGGCCCAGCAGAUGACACCAGAAACUGAGGCUUGAAAGGGACACAUGGGAUUGGAACAACAUUGUACAUUAACUAUAUUUUAAUUAAAAAAAGAUGUAUGAAAGAAAGAAGAAAAGCAAAAAAAGAAAGUGACAUACAGUGGCUUCGCCCUUGUCCUUUAUCUGCUGCCACAUUAUUCAUGCUUGAAAGGCACCAAACACAUUUUGGUCCUGUGUGUGCCCCCAAAUCCCUAACACAUGCUGUUGAUCCCACGGGGUCCCGAUUGAAUGACUGGUGAGUGGAUGGAUGGAUUAAUGGGGGUGGGGCAGGGAGUGACUGAGGAUGGUGACAAUUUUUCAAGCCCUGCUAGAACAGUUAAGGGCCUCUCUUCACAGGCUCCCUGGAAAUGAACCUCAACAGUUUUCCCCGGGCGGCUAAGUCUGCCAAAGCCUGCGAUCUCACCAAGUUUGAAAAUGCAAGCGAGGAGAACAAGAUUUCCAUAUUCCAGCAAAAGCGUGUGCGGGGCUGGUGGCCUUUCUCUAAAAGCAAAGAACUCACGGUAUGUGACAGCUAUAGGGGAUGGGGCAGGGGUGGGGCAGGAAGAGGACCUCAUGUUCUUUAUUUUUUUUAAUGUGGUUUAUUUAUUUUUAUUUUUUAUUAAAGUAUAGUUGAUUGACAGUGUUGUGUCAAUUUCAGCUGUAUAGCAAAGUGACCCAGUCAUACACUCAUGUUCUUGAAGUGAGUCAUCUUGUAAAUCUCAAGUCGAGUGCCUUGAAAUGACAUAGAGCCCUUUAGGGCAACGGUUCUGAGAAGCGAGAAUUUUGAAAAAUUUAUCAAUGCAUUAAGCCUUCCAUAUUUCAGCAUAUUUGAUUUAAUAGCUGUCGAUGGCGGGAUGGGUUUCUAUCCUCUUGGCUUGAAUGUCUGCCCCUGGCAGUAAUUUUUUUCAACAUUUCUUGAAAUUACACACAAGGUCCUUACUAAUGUGCAAUUUUAAUGCCACUGCUUCAUCCCUUCACCCUCAGAUGAGACUCAAUUUAAAAAGUGAUCUGUCCUUGAACCACUCCCUCGAGAGGAUGCUCGAGCUGAGACGAGAGCCAUUUACCCCUCUCCCUGCCUUGCCAGCUUGGUCCCUCCCAUAUGGCACAUGCUGCAGGAAUUCAGACCUUUCACAAAGAGUGGGAAGAAAGUUUCUCCUGCUCUUUCUUUCAGCCCCUCAUUGCUCCUUUGUAAGGGAGAGUGGCGGACUCUAGUGAUCAGUGAGGCUGAGAAAAAGGACGGGGACUGCAGAGGUGGCCUCUUUUCUCUGCUGUCCUCCUUUGAGGCAGGUGCGUUCUUUCUGCUGCUCCUAGUGCCCAGUGGCAAAGGCGAGCCCAGGUCAGGACCAUAGCAGGUCUGGAUAGAGACCCAUUUCUCUGGCUGGCUGGCUAGGGGCUCAGUGGGUGCAGGACAGGGAUUCCCUUCGAACCUAACUGGGUAAAUGGCAGCUGCUGGCUUGCCUCCAUGGUGUCUAGUUUUCGUGUGUUUUCUAGGAGGUUUUCUCUUCCCACCACUCUCAAUUCAACCCCCUCUAGGUGAGAUUAGAUCAAGAGAACGAGGUGCCAGGCAAGCCCACUCUCCUUACUCCUCCCAAGUUCAUAAUUAGGGCUUACUACACGCAGCCUAUAUACUCCGUUCCAGACUUCAUCUUAACCAUUGAGCCUCCCUUAAUAGAUUUCAACCAGUGAAGUGAUUGAUGAAUGGAUGAGUUUAGAUAUGAAGUAAGCAUGGUCUCUACUCUCAACCAGCUCAGAGUCCAGGGAGAGGCACGAUGCAUCAACAGUCCAGUCCCCAUGAAACAAAAUGUAAAUGAUACGGGGAAGGAUGAGAGGAGGGGAAGAUUAGUUCUCUCUGAGGAUGCUGAGGGGCCAAGCAGGGCAGAGCAUGAAUUUUUCAAGAACAAAGGAUGAUAAAGGCAUUUUCUAGAUGAAGCAAAGGAUGCAUGGCUACUCCCAGUAGAGGAACUAUGAUGAGCGUGAUGAGCCUGGAGUGGCUAACUGCCCACUGGUCAGAGGUGUCAGAAUGUAAUAGGAGUCAGGAAAUGAGAGUUGCCAAGUCCUGAAUUCGAAUUCUUAUUCUUUGAUAUAAUUCCUUCUCCUACCCAAUAAAUGGCAGUGAUUAUGUAUAGAUGACAUAAUGGCAGGUAUCUAUUACAUUUUUAUAGCCCUUCAGCGUUUGCAAAAUAUAUUCAGACCCCUCCUGUUAUUUCAUUCGAUCCUAAUAGACUCUUUUCCAUGUCAUUUAUUUAUUUCUUCAUUGCCUUCAACAAAUAUUUAUUGAGCAUCUAUUAAAUAAUAGGCCCUGAGACAAAAUAUGAGACAUACAGACAUAGUCUCUGCCAGCAUGGGGCUUAGAGUCCAGUGUCAAAGAGAGACACACAGGGAAGAUAGAAGGACACACAUAAGUGCACAGUCACACCGAGAAACCAAAUUCUUAAAACAGGGGCUGGGAAGUGCUACAGCAAAGCCAAUCCAAGGCAGAUAUUUCCAUCCAUAUGGUAGCUGGAAGCCUUUCUGCAGCUUUGCAGUUGAGACCUAAAGAAGGAAAAGUCAAGAGCCAUCUGUAGAAAAAUGGGAAGGAGGGCAUUGGUCACCAAGUAAAGACCGCAGGCAAAGGUCCUGGGGUGAGAAUGAGUUCAGGGUGUAGGAGAAACUAAAAUACAUACACACACACACACACACACACACACACACACACCCACACACACACCUCCCACAACUGGAUGAUGUUGGGGAAGUGGAGGGGAAACGAGAGCUAUGGCCUAAUAGGAGAGGAGACAGGAAGAUUUUAAUGAUGGCGGGUCAGAGGAUGCAGAGAAGUUGCUUUGAGACACAGUGGUGAGCCGACGAAGCAGUAUUUUGGUUGUGACCGUCUGUUUUCUCCGAGCACAUUAAGGAUUUCGCAGGGGCGAAGACCGAGGAAUGGAGAAGCAGACGGCCUGGGUCUGAGUCCUGUUCUCUCCUGACUAGUUGUGUGACAUGACACAAGUUACGCUGGGCCUCAGCUUCCACAUCUACAAAAUGGGGAUUGAUAAUAUGUACAUAUCCCAUGGGGUUUUUAGCAAAUAAAUGAAUUAAUGUACAGUAAGUGUUCAGAACUCUGGAAAGAAACAAGACUACCCAGGAGAGGACAAGUGGAGGCUAUUUAUGUAGACCUCACUAUAGCGAAGGAGUCAGCCCCUAUCACUUGUGCUUGCCUGUGUCUGGGAACAGGGAAGCUUUAGAGUGAAAAGAAGGGAAGGCUUCAGGUUUGUUCUGACUGGCGGUUGUUGGCCUGAGAAAGCUGGGGGCAGAGUAGCAAGGAGGGGGGCAGCCUAUGU